GUAGGUGAACCUGCGGAAGGAUCAUUACCGAGAGACACGGGGUCUAACCGGCCCCGACUCUUCAUCCGUGUCUACAUACCAACGUUGCUUUGGCGGGCCCUGAGUUCGUCUCGGGGAGCAUCUGCUCCCGAGUGCCCGCCAAUGGCCCCCUUAUAAUUCUUGUAAUCAGUGUCGUCGGAGUAAACACAAAAUAACUAAAACUUUCAACAACGGAUCUCUUGGUUCUG
RNAcentral lists this unclassified non-coding RNA (227 nucleotides) under rhizosphere metagenome. RNAcentral's name for it is "partial ribosomal RNA internal transcribed spacer region". The record is from RNAcentral.